UGGGGAAUAUUGCACAAUGGGCGAAAGCCUGAUGCAGCGACGCCGCGUGAGGGAUGACGGCCUUCGGGUUGUAAACCUCUUUCAGUAGGGACGAAGCGCAAGUGACGGUACCUGCAGAAGAAGCACCGCCUAACUACGUGCCAGCAGCCGCGGUAAUACGUAGGGUGCGAGCGUUGUCCGGAAUUACUGGGCGUAAAGAGCUCGUAGGCGGUUUGUCACGUCGUCUGUGAAAUCCUAGGGCUUAACCCUGGACGUGCAGGCGAUACGGGCUGACUUGAGUACUACAGGGGAGACUGGAAUUUCUGGUGUAGCGGUGGAAUGCACAGAUAUCAGGAAGAACACCGAUGGCGAAGGCAGGUCUCUGGGUAGUAACUGACGCUGAGGAGCGAAAGCAUGGGUAGCGAACAGG
RNAcentral lists this ribosomal RNA (409 nucleotides) under bacterium. RNAcentral describes it as "partial 16S ribosomal RNA". It matches the Rfam family "Bacterial small subunit ribosomal RNA", at positions 355 to 776 of the family's 1533-position model. The record is from RNAcentral.